Long non-coding RNA from Mesoplodon densirostris (Blainville's beaked whale), 3310 nucleotides. RefSeq lists it as uncharacterized. The transcript has 4 exons. NCBI's taxonomy places the organism in Eukaryota, Metazoa, Chordata, Mammalia, Artiodactyla, Ziphiidae. The record is from RefSeq and is a predicted model, not a curated record.
AUAGCCCUUGCUGGAUUUUACUUGCGCUCCUGCUCCUCUUCCAUCCCCACGAGGAGAGGAUGCUGGUCCCAGAGAGAGGAUGAGAGAGCUGAGCCUCUGAGCCGCUCCAUCACCCAACCUGCAGCGGCAAAACCCGUCCAGGUGACGCCUCCAGAGACUGCCAGCAGCACCUGGGGUGAAGGAGUGCCCUCUACACCUGUCACAAUUGCAGCGUGAAUAAGCCCGGGCUAGCGACUUUAAGACCAGAGUACCUGGGAUUAACUAAAGUAACCCUCAUGAAAUGGACAAGUGGCUUAAACAUCUCCCUGCAGAGAAGCGACAGACGGAGGAUAAUUCCAGUAAUACAGGUUGGUUUCCUGGCAGAAUUUCAUAGAAAUGGCGUCAUCCAGAACGUGCUUUUUUGUGUUUAGCUUCUUCCGCUCAACAUAACAUCUGUGAGAUCAUCCACGUUGUGUGUAUCCGUGGCCCCAUUUCACGGAGGAAGAAACAAAGGCUCAGACAGACUAAGGGAAGUGGUGUCAGAGGAAAGCCCCAGCUCUCCAAGGACGUCCCGUUCUCUGUUUGAGCACCGUCCCCUGAUGGUCCAUGCUGAUCGCCAGCCCAGGCAUUCCUUCCUGUGCUGAGGCUUCCUGCCACGCACAGUCGAUUGGGGAUCAUUCCAUCAGCAAAGGCUCUGACCUGCUAAAUCUCAUCCAUCAGACUGGCCAUAUUCCUUCCAACUGAGCUGGUAAUGUGAUCAUGUGAUCACGCUGUGGCGACUCGGUUCCCGUGGCCCGUUCGUCAUCACUUCACAGGCGCCUUCUGUGGACUCGGGCCAAAUCCUCUGUGUCAGCACCGUGUGUACCCUGUUGCACCCCACAGGUGACCCUGCAGAGGUUCCUGGCCGCAUCUGUGCACACAGACGCGUGUCCACUUGCGCAUGUGCCUCUCUCUCUGGCAGAAAAUCUUUGAGGUGGAACCCAAUGGGCUGGGUUUAAAUCCUGACUCUACUACUUACAGGCUGUACAACUUUGCCCUAGUUGCCCUCUCUGUGCCUCAGUUUCCCAUCUGUAAAAUGUGGAUGAAGACAGAACCCACUUCUUGGAGUGUAUUCAUUUCCUGGGCUGCCACAACAAAGUACCAUAGACUUAGUGGCUUAAAAAACCGAAAUCUAAUCGCUCACAGUUCUGGAGGCCAGAAAUCUGAAAUCAACCCAUCAGCAAGCGUUGUCGGUGCCCGGAGCUGGAGGGCCCUUGAAGAUGAGAAGAGCCUGUCCCCCUCGGUUGCAGGAAUAGGUGAGGAGGACUCAGAGGGGGGCAGCGGCUGGGCCAAGGUCACACAGCGAGUCGGUGGCAUCACCAGCUUGGCCAGCCCUGGCAGGAGAGGGGUUGGAACGGCCCACGUGGGGACUGUGGCAGGCUGGGAUACACGGGGCCUGGCCAGAGAGCGACGUCACUGUGAAGUGGCACUGCCCAAGUGGACGACAUGGACUCUGUGUAUGAGGUCAGCUGAGUUUUCAAGAGAAGCUAAAAUCCACCUUUAUAAAGGAUGCCAUCUAGUCAUUCAAGGUUCUAGAAAACCCAGCGUAGGCCACACAAAGUGGUCCUAGCUGAGAACAGUGUCUUCACUCAGCUCCUGGGGUGCCCGUGGUGGGCACAGCCCAGAGGGCAGAUGCGGAGUAGCGUUUGGUCCUGUGUGUGCAGGGUGUGCCUGGGCUUCUCCUGGUCCCCCGCGUAGUGAGAUGGGAGCUUCCUGGCCCGCCUGCAUCAGUGUUCCGUCCAAAAUCCCCUUCCAGCCAAGCGGUCUUCAGCAGCCUGCCACGCGCAGUGUGUGUGUUGUGUGCUGCACAAAGGCGCCCACUGGAGAGGGGACUGGGGUGCUCUCGGGCCGUGCUCGGCUUGUUGCUCAGCUGCUUAUCCUGGAAGAAGCAUUUGAUUGUUGUAAUGCAUCCACCCAGGCAGUUCUCUUUUUCUAGUUCUCACAGUGCUGGGUCAGUUUGGGUCCUUCAAGAAGAUGCCAAGGGACUUCCCUGGUGGCGCAGUGGUUAAGAAUCCACCUGCUAAUGCAGGGGACAUGGGUUCGAGCCCUGGUCCGGGAAGAUCCCACAUGCCGCGGAGCAACUAAGCCCGUGUGCCAGAACUACUGAGCCUGUGCUCUACAGCCCGCGAGCCACAACUACCGAGCCCGCACGCCUAGAGCCGGUGCUCAGCCACAAGAGAAGCCACCGCAAUGAGAAGCCUGCGUACCCCAACGAAGAGUAGCCCCCACUUGCCACAACGAGAGAAAGCCCGCGCGCAGCAAUAAAGACCCAAUGCAGCCAAAAUAAAUAAAUUUAUUUAAAAAAAAAAAAAGAAAGAAAAUGCCGAGAUGAGGGACUUCCCUGGCGGUCCAGUGGUUAGGACUCCGGGCUUUCACUGCCGCGAGCACAGGUUCGAUCCCUGGUCGAGGAGCUAAGAUCCCGCAAGCCACGUGGCACGGCAAAAAAAAAAAACAACAAAGAAAAAAGAAGAUGCCAAGGUGAGAUUCGACGUGCAAGUGGGCCAUUAGGGAAAACAGCUCUAGGAGAAAAGGAGGAAGUGGGAGAGGCUUCAGGCUGAGAUGCAACUCUGGCCUCCAUGCGGAGUGAGACAGGAGGGGCUCAGGCCUCAGCACAGUUCUAAGGAAGUUUUUGUGCAGGCUGAUGGGGAAUCCUGGAGCCGGGGUCCCCCAUCGGAGGCAUCCCACAUCCUGCUGGGAUGGGCCUACCUUUAUUUCCCUUUCUCGCUGGGUCAUUGGUGGGAGCACCUGUGUGGCUCAGGGUGGGUUCAGAGCACAGCAGUGGGGCUGUCAAUCAGUCACGCAUGUGUCCCGCAGCGGGAGACCCCAGGGGAUGACGGUCAAGGCUGUCAUGGUGCUGAAUCUGUUAGUGGGUGCCCUGAUCUGUGAAGACACAGUUAGAAACAGCCGGCAUGGUAAAUCAGACAGAGAAAGACAAAUAUCAUAGGGUACUGCUUGUAUGUGGACUCUAAAAAAAGAGUACAAAUGAACUUAUCUACAAAACAGAAAGAGAGUCACAGAUGUAGAAAACAAACUUACGGUUAGCAGGAGGUAAGGAGAGGGGAGGGAUAAACUGGGAGACUGGGAUGGACAUACACACACCACUAUAUAUAAAAUAGAUAACUAAUAAGGGCCUACUGUACAGCACAGGGAAGUCUACUCAAUACUCUGUUAUGGCCUAUAUGGGAAAAGAAUCUAAAAAAGAGCGAAUAUAUGUAUAUGUAUAACUGAUUGACUUUGCUGUACCUCCGAAACUAACACAACAUUGUAAAUCAACUACACUGCAAUAAAACAA